This 367-nucleotide ribosomal RNA is filed under the name Steganacarus similis. RNAcentral's name for it is "partial 28S ribosomal RNA". The record is from RNAcentral. Lineage: Eukaryota; Metazoa; Arthropoda; Arachnida; Sarcoptiformes; Steganacaridae.
GGUUUUCGUUAGAAAACAGGCGCCAGUGGCAUUCAAUGUCGCUCUCGGGCGGUGCAUUUCUUCACUUCCGUGCUAAAGCCAUGACUAGUUGGAAAGCUGAAGCGUCCGUAUGCGAGAGUUGCAGGCAGGUAACUAGAUACGUCUCCGUACGUAUGCUAGAGUUAUAGCCGGAAGCUCGGUUAUGCUGCUUAAGUUAACCGACUAGUGAAAGUUCUCCGUCUAUGCGGAGUAUGCAAGUAGAGCGGGCAGUCAGUUUCGUUGUCGAGACAAGUGUUGAUUUUGUGGGCAUUUUUGUGUUUGCACGAAAAAACUGCAUUACCAAUCUGUCUAUGCGGGCAGCGAUAUCUGUCUGUUCGUGAACAAUCGA